Molecule: ribosomal RNA, 1014 nt
Filed under: Triticum aestivum (bread wheat)
Lineage: Eukaryota; Viridiplantae; Streptophyta; Magnoliopsida; Poales; Poaceae
Description: partial small subunit ribosomal RNA
Source: RNAcentral
AUGUUCAGCGGCGCGCGCUGUAUUUUAGCGCGUCUGCUGGACCCGGAUAAGGUCUCCUGGACGGCGCUCAUCGACGAGUGCGUCAAGAACGGGCGCCACGACGAGGCGACCUACUGCUUCCAUGCCAUGCUGCUGGAUGGCGUCAUGCCAGACUACGUCACGCUGGUAGCUGCCGUCUCCGCGUGCGCCAAGGUCGGCGCGCUCGGCCUAGGUAUGUGGGUGCACCGGUUCAUGACCAGGGAGAGGCUGGAGGGCAACAUCCGCAUCGCCAACUCGCUGAUUGACAUGUAUGCCCGGUGCGGUAAGGUGGAGUUUGCACGGCAGGUGUUUGACGGCAUGAAGAAGCGGACGGUGGUCUCCUGGAACUCGAUGAUCGUCGGGUUCGCAGCCAACGGACGGUGCACGGACGCCAUCGAGCAUUUUGAGGCAAUGCGAAGAAAGGGGUUCAAGCCAGACGCUGUGACGUUCACGGGCGUCCUCACGGCCUGCAGCCAUGCUGGUCUCACCGACGAGGGGCUGAGGUACUAUGACGCCAUGAGGGAAGAGCACGGCAUCAAAGCAAGGAUGGAGCAUUACGGGUGCGUGGUCGACCUGCUCGGCCGGGCCGGGCGCCUGGACGAGGCCAUGAGCGUGGUGGCGACCAUGCCGAUGCGGCCGAACGAGGUGGUGCUUGGAGCCCUGCUCGCGGGCUGCCGGAUUCACGGGGACGUGGACAUGGCCGAGCAGCUGAUGCAGUACCUCCUCGAGCAGGACCCUGGCGGCGACUCGAACUACGUGCUGCUGUCAAACAUCUACGCCGCCGUCGGGAAAUGGGAUGGGGCCGGUAAGGUCAGGGGCCUGAUGAAAGCCCGGGGGGUGAAGAAGAGGCCAGGCCGCAGUGCUGUGGAGAUCGACGGCGACGUGCAUGAGUUUGUCUGCGGCCAUCGGUCUCAUCCGCAGGCUGGGGAGGUGUUGGACAUGCUUGACCUGCUCAGCCAUGAGAUGGCAGGGCGUGAGGCCGUGAGUGAGCAUUGA